RNAcentral lists this ribosomal RNA (492 nucleotides) under uncultured bacterium. RNAcentral describes it as "partial 16S ribosomal RNA". It matches the Rfam family "Bacterial small subunit ribosomal RNA", at positions 29 to 507 of the family's 1533-position model. The record is from RNAcentral.
AGUGAACGCUGGCGGUAGGCCUAACACAUGCAAGUCGAACGGCAGCACAGUAAGAGCUUGCUCUUACGGGUGGCGAGUGGCGGACGGGUGAGGAAUACAUCGGAAUCUACUUUUUCGUGGGGGAUAACGUAGGGAAACUUACGCUAAUACCGCAUACGACCUACGGGUGAAAGCAGGGGAUCUUCGGACCUUGCGCGAUUGAAUGAGCCGAUGUCGGAUUAGCUAGUUGGCGGGGUAAAGGCCCACCAAGGCGACGAUCCGUAGCUGGUCUGAGAGGAUGAUCAGCCACACUGGAAGUGAGACACGGUCCAGACUCCUACGGGAGGCAGCAGUGGGGAAUAUUGGACAAUGGGCGCAAGCCGGAUCCAGCCAUACCGCGUGGGUGAAGAAGGCCUUCGGGUUGUAAAGCCCUUUUGUUGGGAAAGAAAAGCAGCAGGUUAAUACCCCGCUGUUCUGACGGUACCCAAAGAAUAAGCACCGGCUAACUUCGUG